This 475-nucleotide unclassified non-coding RNA is filed under the name Hevea brasiliensis (rubber tree). The record is from RNAcentral. Lineage: Eukaryota; Viridiplantae; Streptophyta; Magnoliopsida; Malpighiales; Euphorbiaceae.
CUUAAUUUUUUAAUCAAUAGAAACGUUUGCUCUCAGAUUUUUUUUUUUUUCAAAUACGGAUUGUCAUUUAUUUCUUUUUCCUGAUUUCCUGAAUUGCAAUCAUCACUUAAAUAAAUCCAUGCAAAGACAACAAAAUAGAAAAAGAAAAAAAAAAAGUUAAUACACAUCGCUCGUUUUAUGCGUUAACGAUCAACGGUCAUCAUCAAAUAUAUCACCAGUAAAGCUGAUCACUUGAUCCGACGGCAGAGAGUGAUCCCAUCACCAACAGGGAGCAUGCAGAUCUCAAUUCUGGGGUCCGCCGGUAAGGCCUUGUUGAGCUCCAUCACAAAGUCUCUGUAGUACUUAACAUACUUCCUGAGGGGUGCAUCUGGUGGUGCCACCACAGACCCAUUCCAUAGGGUAUUGUCGUACCCGAUCACUCCACCAACUUUGACCAGCUCAAUCAAUCUCUUGUGGUAAUUCAGAUAAUUGUCUU